UCCGGGAUUCGGCCAGAGCCAAUCGAAUCCCAGUGUUUGGCGCGUCUGUCUGUGGCGUCAGAGGCGUCAUGUGGGGAACUCGGGAAGUACCUUGUUGAGCGGCCUCAAUACGCUAACGAGUGGGUUCUGUUGUCUGCUGGCAGCAGUUUCUUCUUGUCUUUAUCACAACACACGCCGUCGGGCCAGUUUCACAGUCUUGAAGUAUAUAACAACAGCAUAGCCACGUAAAGAGAAGGUGUAUGUCCCCUAGUUAUUGAAGUCAGCAGCUAUUCAAUUCAUCAAGCUGGAUUCUGUCUAGGCCUGGGGUUCCCAACCUUUCUUACUCGUGAGCCACAGUCAAAUAUAAAAAGACUUGGAGAGCAACACAAGCAUCAUAAAAGUUCAUGGAGCAGGAAAAAUAAUUCCUUGUUGGGGCCUGAGUAAAAGUAGACCUUAUAAACCUGGAGUAAAUGGCUUUCCCUGGAGAAAUGUACAAACUGUUGACAGCUUUUGCAUCACUGUUCUUUACGUUACCAGUAGCUGAAGCAAUGGAUGAAGGAAAUACAAUUGCAGUGCUACUUGGUGUAGUCAUUACUGCAAUUGGAUUCUGUGCAUGUUUGGGAUACUAUGCAAGAAAGAAAGAAGGGUUUCACUAAUACCUUUCACUACAAUGAAGUGUUCAGACAGAUGACUUCAGCUCCUGGUCCAUAAUUCAAAAACAUUUUUAUUUUUACAAUGCAUUUUAUUUUGUAAUGUAAAACAUGCAGGAAAAACAACUGUUACUAUAAAUAGUACAUAAUGGUCUUUAAAUCUGUACAUUUCGUAUUGCUUUUUCCUUUUAAAUAUUAGUAUCGAUCUUCGUUCUUCCUAACAAAGUGCUUGAUACGGUGUAUAUGGCAAGCUAUUUAGAGGUUUUCCAAAUUUUCAGUAUAAAAUCACUGUAAUGAUAGCCAUAGCAUGUUUUUAGUGAGGAGGGAAAAGAACUGCAACUUUAUAAUUGCCAUGAUCUAGAGUUCCUAUUUUGUUAUGGAUAUUUGACUUUAUUGAUGUAAAGAAUAUGAAAGGGUAUCCUCAUUUCUGCUUAUUAAAUAUACUUGGUAUUUUGAAUUUUAUUUUUUCUUUUCGCUAGAUAAAGCAAUAAAUGUUAUUCUUCUAGUAAA
Non-coding RNA from Xenopus tropicalis (tropical clawed frog), 1139 nucleotides. The record is from RefSeq and is a predicted model, not a curated record. NCBI's taxonomy places the organism in Eukaryota, Metazoa, Chordata, Amphibia, Anura, Pipidae.